This is a long non-coding RNA of Eriocheir sinensis (Chinese mitten crab), 1576 nucleotides long. RefSeq lists it as uncharacterized. The record is from RefSeq and is a predicted model, not a curated record. NCBI's taxonomy places the organism in Eukaryota, Metazoa, Arthropoda, Malacostraca, Decapoda, Varunidae. The transcript is spliced from 2 exons.
UUGUCUAAUUUCUUGCUAUUAAUGAAACCAUAAAUUGAAUAGACUUUUAUAUGUGAAACAGUAGUCCCUCCAUUUAGCGCACAUCCUUUCAAGGAUACCCUUAUUAUGUGCCCUUGAGCAGACAACACAAACAUCACAAAAUUAAGACCAGUCCCUAAUCAAUAAAUCCCUUUAAAAAAACACCACCACCACAAUGUGGAUUUAUUUGGUACCUGUCUCACAUUAAAUAGAGGGUCUACUGUAAUGCAUGAUAUAUAAUGAUGGUUGCUUUUUAUACUUUCUAGUGGAAAGAUAAAAGAAACGAGAUUUACUUUAGUUUUCAACAGCUUAGUAAGACAGCCAUGUGAUUCUUGCUACACACUAAUGUUAGCCAUGUGCUACAAUGGGUUUCAAAGGCUGUGAUGUUUAGUUUGGGGGGAAUAACUUUUUCACAAAGCCUUAGAUAAGGAUGAUAAUUGGGCAAAGCAUGUAUCAGACCUUGCCUUUUUAUUUUUGUCAGUAUGAUUUAUUAACGAUGUGGAUAAUUAAAGCACUUAUAAGAGGCACUAUGAUAAAAAAAAUUCUCAGAUGAAGUGCUUUCUGUUGCAAGGCUAGUAAACUUGUCUGUGGAGACACUGCUCACAACAUUAAGCACUUCAUCUGCCUCUUAUAAGUACCUUAAUUAACAUGACAUUUCCAUGACUAUUUUCUUUUUAGCUUAAGUACUGCUUUGGAUAGAAAUUCUCCCUCCCCAAGACGUCUGUCCAUUCAGGUUUUUUUCUUUUUAGCUGGUAGUACUGCUUUGCAUAGAAUUUCUCCUUACCCAAGACAUCUGUCCAUUCAGGUUGAACAGCGCUGUCGACUAGCAGGGAAUGAAAAAGUUUAAAAGUUGAUGAGCAACAUAGUUACAAAGGGUAUAAGGAGACUUGCAGUUCACUUAUAUUCUUGUGUAUUCUUGCACAUCUAUUAAACUUUUUCUUGUUCCUUGCUGAUCUAGCACAGUAAUGUUCAAUCUUCUUGGACAGAUGUCUUGGUGAUUAGAACAAAACAAGGUCUACAAAGGCCUAAAAAACUGUACUAAGGCCUAAAAAACUGUACUAAGUCCAUAAUACCUCUCUAAGUCUCCGAAGAGAUACUGGAGCAUUUGGAAUCUAUUUAAUAAACAUACUAGUGUGUCCCCCAAGUUUAUUUUAAGACUAUCAUACAUAGUUCAUAGGAUAGUAAGCAAGCCAAACCAGCAAAAAAAAAAUUUCUCAAGUUGAUGAACAUUUCUUUUUUCCCUCUCCAAAUGGCUGAGCAGAUACCUCCUGAAGGUGUAUCUCUGGGUGCCUUCUGCUGCCAGUGCAGUGUCUGCAAGCCAUCGCUCUCUCCAUCCCAGCAGCAUCUUGUUGGAGGGUUGAGACACCUGACGCUGAUGGCCUGACGGAACAAACACUACUCAAGUCACAGUACGUAUAUCAAACCUGAAAACAGCAGAGACAAGUUUCAGCUGCAUUGGCAGUUGCUCUUCUCUUGCCUCCAAGGAACAUAACAGAUAAUUCUUAUAAGGCAGAAGUGCAUUUUGUCUGUAAAAGUGUUUAAUAAAUGUAUAUUGCUC